AUGAGCGCGAUAAGGGCA
RNAcentral lists this ribosomal RNA (18 nucleotides) under Novacetimonas maltaceti. RNAcentral describes it as "Komagataeibacter maltaceti partial 23S ribosomal RNA". Lineage: Bacteria; Pseudomonadati; Pseudomonadota; Alphaproteobacteria; Acetobacterales; Acetobacteraceae. The record is from RNAcentral.